Molecule: long non-coding RNA, 611 nt
Filed under: Phascolarctos cinereus (koala)
Lineage: Eukaryota; Metazoa; Chordata; Mammalia; Diprotodontia; Phascolarctidae
Description: lncRNA (ENSPCIG00000026359.2)
Source: RNAcentral
AAACCCUGGAGAUGGAGAGGUGAUAUGCAGAGAUCUUGGUGAUGGGGUAUAACACAUCCCCUAGGGAUGGAGGAGUCAUAGGAAGAGGCCCCGGGGUCACUGUUAGGCUCGAGGUGAACAAAUUGCUUCCCAGUUCCUCCCACAUUACCUAGCCACAGAUUGCAAGACCUCAAAGCUGAAUUAUCUCAUCCCUGUCCUGAUGCAACCUACAAACAAAGAAACCCCAGUCAAUCCAGGGACCUGUGUUCAUUUUGUCUGAAGAAUAAAGGACGAACAACAAGAAUUCUGCAUGAAGUCUCUACACAGAGACUUCUCUACACGGAGGCCUUCCAGCACAGGCUUUGAAGCUGCUAUGUUCCCAAGAACUGGCUCAGGACAUCUGGAUAACAAGUUUGACAAAGAUGUGAACAAUGAAGAAAGCUGAUUUAUCUGUAUAAGGCUUUUUGUCCACAGCCCAAAUAUAAAUCAACUCCCCAGCUUUCCACUUUCAACAAUUCAAUUCAAAUCAACAUUUUUAUGCAUCUAUAAUGUGCCGGCCAUUAUGUUAGGUACUGGGGAUAUAAAGACAAAACAAGACAAUCUCUGCGCUUCUAGAGCAUACAUUCUAUUGG